CAGCAGCCGCGGUAAUACGGAGGAUGCAAGCGUUGUCCGGAUUCAUUGGGUUUAAAGGGUGCGUAGGCGGAGAUUUAAGUCAGUGGUGAAAGCUUACAGCUCAACUGUAAAAAUGCCAUUGAAACUGAAUUUCUUGAGUUCGAUUGAGGUAGAUGGAAUGUAUCAUGUAGCGGUGAAAUGCUUAGAUAUGAUACAGAACACCAAUUGCGAAGGCAGCUCGUUACACGAAGAUUGACUCUGAGGCACGAAAGCGUGGGGAUCAAACAGGAUUAGAUACCCUGGUAGUCCACGCCCUAAACUAUGGAUACUCGACAUACGCGAUACACUGUGUGUGUCUGAGCGAAAGCAUUAAGUAUCCCACCUGGGAAGUACGACCGCAAGGUUGAAACUCAAAGGAAUUGACGG
This 405-nucleotide ribosomal RNA is filed under the name uncultured soil bacterium. Its description in RNAcentral is "bacterial SSU rRNA". It matches the Rfam family "Bacterial small subunit ribosomal RNA", at positions 509 to 916 of the family's 1533-position model. The record is from RNAcentral.